ACGAUGUUCCGCUGCAAUGAUACAAAAGGCAUUGACAUGAGCAUUGG
This is a regulatory RNA element of Bacillus solimangrovi, 47 nucleotides long. It matches the Rfam family "Ribosomal protein L19 leader". Rfam says of the family: This family is a putative r-protein leader autoregulatory structure found in B. subtilis and other low-GC Gram-positive bacteria. Lineage: Bacteria; Bacillati; Bacillota; Bacilli; Caryophanales; Bacillaceae. The record is from Rfam.